Molecule: transfer RNA, 76 nt
Filed under: Lachnospiraceae bacterium
Lineage: Bacteria; Bacillati; Bacillota; Clostridia; Lachnospirales; Lachnospiraceae
Description: tRNA-Leu
Rfam family: tRNA
About the family: Transfer RNA (tRNA) molecules are approximately 80 nucleotides in length. Their secondary structure includes four short double-helical elements and three loops (D, anti-codon, and T loops).
Source: RNAcentral
GCGCACGUAGUCCAAUUGGCAGGAGACAUGAGGUUUAAGCCCUCAGAAGUGAUCGGUUCGAGUCCGUCCGUGCGUA